This 300-nucleotide ribosomal RNA is filed under the name Triticum aestivum (bread wheat). RNAcentral's name for it is "partial small subunit ribosomal RNA". Lineage: Eukaryota; Viridiplantae; Streptophyta; Magnoliopsida; Poales; Poaceae. The record is from RNAcentral.
AUGGCGGAAAGUGAAGAGAGAGGUCGGCCCGAUGUUCUUGGAUCUGUAGGACAUGGAAGAAUUGCCUUGUGGCAUGGCAAGGUCAGUAGAGAGGGCAUUGCCAUGAUCCAACCAUCAUUCUUGAGGCAUUUGCAUCACAUGAUCUUUGGAUUUGACAUGCAUACUCCAGGAUGCCUGGCUCUCAUAAUGAUCUCAGUGUCCUCUCUUGAUAUCCUCUUUUUACAAGGCUUGUUGCCGGUGACAAUCCACCUUGCAACUAUGUUGUCAAUGGCAAUGAGUACAACAUGGGAUACUACCUAG